AUAUUCAUUUACAAGUCUUCCCAAUUGAAAAGAUUUUGUUACAUCUCAAGUAUAAAAGUAGUCUAAUUAGUGUAAUUGAGAGUCAGUUAAUCUUGAGCGUUCAUUGGAUACACUUUUGCUCCAGUAAAUAACUAAUUAGAUUCAGUGCCCAACAGUAAAUUCAAUUCAGUAUGCAAACAAUUAUACUAAAAGUAUUUACACUCUUUUUGAUUGGAAUAACAAUGGUUAACACAAGACCAUUUGAUAAUGAUGCAAGGAUAAUACGCUUACCAUUCAACUGGGAUAAUCAGAUUCAAGAUAAAGGCGAUCCAAUUUGGCAAUUUUAUCCAUCAAAGCAAACAACAAUUUAUAGUUAUGAUGAGUUUCCGGUGAUUAAAGAGAAAUCCAA
Tetranychus urticae (two-spotted spider mite) is the source of this 388-nucleotide long non-coding RNA. RefSeq lists it as uncharacterized. The record is from RefSeq and is a predicted model, not a curated record. NCBI's taxonomy places the organism in Eukaryota, Metazoa, Arthropoda, Arachnida, Trombidiformes, Tetranychidae.